Molecule: ribosomal RNA, 2601 nt
Filed under: Escherichia coli BWH 32
Lineage: Bacteria; Pseudomonadati; Pseudomonadota; Gammaproteobacteria; Enterobacterales; Enterobacteriaceae
Description: bacterial LSU rRNA
Rfam family: Bacterial large subunit ribosomal RNA
Source: RNAcentral
GUCUGGAAAGGCGUGCGAUACAGGGUGACAGCCCCGUACACAAAAAUGCACAUACUGUGAGCUCGAUGAGUAGGGCGGGACACGUGGUAUCCUGUCUGAAUAUGGGGGGACCAUCCUCCAAGGCUAAAUACUCCUGACUGACCGAUAGUGAACCAGUACCGUGAGGGAAAGGCGAAAAGAACCCCGGCGAGGGGAGUGAAAAAGAACCUGAAACCGUGUACGUACAAGCAGUGGGAGCACGCUUCGGCGUGUGACUGCGUACCUUUUGUAUAAUGGGUCAGCGACUUAUAUUCUGUAGCAAGGUUAACCGAAUAGGGGAGCCGAAGGGAAACCGAGUCUUAACUGGGCGUUAAGUUGCAGGGUAUAGACCCGAAACCCGGUGAUCUAGCCAUGGGCAGGUUGAAGGUUGGGUAACACUAACUGGAGGACCGAACCGACUAAUGUUGAAAAAUUAGCGGAUGACUUGUGGCUGGGGGUGAAAGGCCAAUCAAACCGGGAGAUAGCUGGUUCUCCCCGAAAGCUAUUUAGGUAGCGCCUCGUGAAUUCAUCUCCGGGGGUAGAGCACUGUUUCGGCAAGGGGGUCAUCCCGACUUACCAACCCGAUGCAAACUGCGAAUACCGGAGAAUGUUAUCACGGGAGACACACGGCGGGUGCUAACGUCCGUCGUGAAGAGGGAAACAACCCAGACCGCCAGCUAAGGUCCCAAAGUCAUGGUUAAGUGGGAAACGAUGUGGGAAGGCCCAGACAGCCAGGAUGUUGGCUUAGAAGCAGCCAUCAUUUAAAGAAAGCGUAAUAGCUCACUGGUCGAGUCGGCCUGCGCGGAAGAUGUAACGGGGCUAAACCAUGCACCGAAGCUGCGGCAGCGACACUAUGUGUUGUUGGGUAGGGGAGCGUUCUGUAAGCCUGUGAAGGUGUGCUGUGAGGCAUGCUGGAGGUAUCAGAAGUGCGAAUGCUGACAUAAGUAACGAUAAAGCGGGUGAAAAGCCCGCUCGCCGGAAGACCAAGGGUUCCUGUCCAACGUUAAUCGGGGCAGGGUGAGUCGACCCCUAAGGCGAGGCCGAAAGGCGUAGUCGAUGGGAAACAGGUUAAUAUUCCUGUACUUGGUGUUACUGCGAAGGGGGGACGGAGAAGGCUAUGUUGGCCGGGCGACGGUUGUCCCGGUUUAAGCGUGUAGGCUGGUUUUCCAGGCAAAUCCGGAAAAUCAAGGCUGAGGCGUGAUGACGAGGCACUACGGUGCUGAAGCAACAAAUGCCCUGCUUCCAGGAAAAGCCUCUAAGCAUCAGGUAACAUCAAAUCGUACCCCAAACCGACACAGGUGGUCAGGUAGAGAAUACCAAGGCGCUUGAGAGAACUCGGGUGAAGGAACUAGGCAAAAUGGUGCCGUAACUUCGGGAGAAGGCACGCUGAUAUGUAGGUGAAGUCCCUUGCGGAUGGAGCUGAAAUCAGUCGAAGAUACCAGCUGGCUGCAACUGUUUAUUAAAAACACAGCACUGUGCAAACACGAAAGUGGACGUAUACGGUGUGACGCCUGCCCGGUGCCGGAAGGUUAAUUGAUGGGGUCAGCGCAAGCGAAGCUCUUGAUCGAAGCCCCGGUAAACGGCGGCCGUAACUAUAACGGUCCUAAGGUAGCGAAAUUCCUUGUCGGGUAAGUUCCGACCUGCACGAAUGGCGUAAUGAUGGCCAGGCUGUCUCCACCCGAGACUCAGUGAAAUUGAACUCGCUGUGAAGAUGCAGUGUACCCGCGGCAAGACGGAAAGACCCCGUGAACCUUUACUAUAGCUUGACACUGAACAUUGAGCCUUGAUGUGUAGGAUAGGUGGGAGGCUUAGAAGUGUGGACGCCAGUCUGCAUGGAGCCGACCUUGAAAUACCACCCUUUAAUGUUUGAUGUUCUAACGUUGACCCGUGAUCCGGGUUGCGGACAGUGUCUGGUGGGUAGUUUGACUGGGGCGGUCUCCUCCUAAAGAGUAACGGAGGAGCACGAAGGUUGGCUAAUCCUGGUCGGACAUCAGGAGGUUAGUGCAAUGGCAUAAGCCAGCUUGACUGCGAGCGUGACGGCGCGAGCAGGUGCGAAAGCAGGUCAUAGUGAUCCGGUGGUUCUGAAUGGAAGGGCCAUCGCUCAACGGAUAAAAGGUACUCCGGGGAUAACAGGCUGAUACCGCCCAAGAGUUCAUAUCGACGGCGGUGUUUGGCACCUCGAUGUCGGCUCAUCACAUCCUGGGGCUGAAGUAGGUCCCAAGGGUAUGGCUGUUCGCCAUUUAAAGUGGUACGCGAGCUGGGUUUAGAACGUCGUGAGACAGUUCGGUCCCUAUCUGCCGUGGGCGCUGGAGAACUGAGGGGGGCUGCUCCUAGUACGAGAGGACCGGAGUGGACGCAUCACUGGUGUUCGGGUUGUCAUGCCAAUGGCACUGCCCGGUAGCUAAAUGCGGAAGAGAUAAGUGCUGAAAGCAUCUAAGCACGAAACUUGCCCCGAGAUGAGUUCUCCCUGACCCUUUAAGGGUCCUGAAGGAACGUUGAAGACGACGACGUUGAUAGGCCGGGUGUGUAAGCGCAGCGAUGCGUUGAGCUAACCGGUACUAAUGAACCGUGAGGCUUAACCUU